AAGACAGUUGGAUAGUACAAAUACCUUCCAAACAUGGCCCCGUCUCUCUCCGUUUUGUUUGUAUAUUGUCUUCAACCUUUUCCGUCCGUUCGAUUCACUGAGCCACUUAGGUCACACUUGGCGGCAAAUCUGCAAGUCUCGUAGAUGA
Molecule: non-coding RNA, 148 nt
Organism: Caenorhabditis elegans
Lineage: Eukaryota; Metazoa; Nematoda; Chromadorea; Rhabditida; Rhabditidae
Source: Ensembl